This is a long non-coding RNA of Hemibagrus wyckioides, 1383 nucleotides long. RefSeq lists it as uncharacterized. NCBI's taxonomy places the organism in Eukaryota, Metazoa, Chordata, Actinopteri, Siluriformes, Bagridae. The transcript is spliced from 3 exons. The record is from RefSeq and is a predicted model, not a curated record.
CAACUAAGUUCCGAUUAUAAAUGUACUUAGUGUUAGCUUUAUAUUGUAGACUUCUGGAAGAAAGUAUGUCCGGGGGCGGGGCUAGGGGGAAACAGAUCCCCAAACAGAGUUGGACACAACACCGGCAUUACUUUUGAAAACUGCCACAGCAGAAGAAAAUCCUCACAACUGUAACGUUAGCAGAAGAGACUGAACAAGCUUUGUCUAAAUAACUAAGCGCUAGGCAACUAACACGUCGAGCUAACAGGUUAGCUAGCUAGCACGUUACAAGCAGGUUAGCUGAUGUUAUGCUAUAAAUUUAGUUUCGGUUUCACUUUAUAAUUAUCAAAUGUAAACACAAAGUCUACCGCUAACAAAAUUAGCUCGCAGGUAAGCUAACAACGGUAUUAAGUUAAUGUUCGGGGUGAAAUGGUGUGCAUUUUUGCUCUACAUGAACAGAAAAGUGGAAAUUAUGUCCUUUUCUCCACAAAAAUAAAAAGAAUGAUGAGGCAGUGCUUGAUGAUCCAGAUGUCAAGAAAGAAGCAUCAGAAAAGGAAGAGAAACAGCAAGAGAAAGUGGACGGAAAGCCAGAGGAUUUGUUAGUGGAAGGUUAUUAAAGUAAGGGCACAGAACAGGAAGUAAAAUCAGAAGCACCUGACAGUGAGGCUGAAGAGGACACAGGUGAGGAGGAGGACAUCCACAAGCAGUAGACCAUCAGGUGUGUGAUGUUGGAAACAUGUUUAUCUGUGUGUAAAGCAGUGUAAUUACUGUUCAUAUGGUGGGAGUGUGUAGUCUUAUGAUUUACAUUACUCAUAAACUCAUGUCAUGUCAUUGCUCUAUCAAGAUAAAUAUUCCUUUAGUGUUUCUUCAUCACUACAUGUGCUCCAUAUUGGUUUGUCUUUAUCCACAGAGAUCAGCUAGUGUAGAGACUCAUCAAUUCAGAAUCUGAAGUUUUCAAGGACCUUGAUGAAGGACAGGAGAAGAAUCUUUACAGCAGUCUGCUUUGUACUCUCUUGGCAUUCUCUCAGCCAGCCUCAGGUAGUCUCUUGGAUUGGUUUUCUAACAAUCUUGAAGGAAUUCUCAGAGGUGUUGAGGACUUGAUGGCUGCCCUUCCUUCACUCUCUGGUCCAACUCAUCACAAACCACCUCAGCUGGGUUUAGAUCAGUAAAUAAUGCUGACUUAAUGGAAAUCAUACUCCGGACUCAGAAUGUCACUUAUGGACUAAUUAUCCAGUAUCCACUCAUCCAUUACUUAUACAGAUGGGAUUCAGCCUCCAGAGCCCUCACUCCAUGUUUUUUUUCUAGCAGUCUAAACACCCUAAAAAUUUAACUUUUGUAGAUUUCUGGUUUAAUCACAGCAAACCCUUAUGAGUGAUCAUCAGGACUAACUAAGGUCUAGGAACA